UACGUAGGAGGCAAGCGUUGUCCGGAAUUACUGGGCGUAAAGCGCGUGUAGGCGGAUGCCUAAGUCUGUGGUGAAAGCGCCUGGCUUAACCGGGCGAGGUCCAUGGAAACUAGGCGUCUGGAGGCCGGUAGAGGGGGGUGGAAUUCCGGGUGUAGUGGUGAAAUGCGUAGAGAUCCGGAGGAACACCGGUGGCGAAGGCGGCCCCCUGGGCCGCGCCUGACGCUGAGACGCGAAAGCGCGGGGAGCGAACGGG
This 253-nucleotide ribosomal RNA is filed under the name uncultured bacterium. RNAcentral's name for it is "partial 16S ribosomal RNA". It matches the Rfam family "Bacterial small subunit ribosomal RNA", at positions 524 to 776 of the family's 1533-position model. The record is from RNAcentral.